AUUGAACGCUAGCGGGAUGCCUAACACAUGCAAGUCGAACGGAGUGGCGAACGGGUGAGUAAUGUACCGGAACGUGCCCAGUAGCGGGGGAUAACUACGCGAAAGCGUAGCUAAUACCGCAUACUAUUGGAGCGGCCGAUAUCGGAGUAGCAAGGUGGUGGGGUAACGGCUCACCAAGGCGACGAGCCGACGCUGGUUUGAGAGGACGACCAGCCACACUGGGACUGAGACACGGCCCAGACUCCUACGGGAGGCAGCAGUGGGGAAUUUUGGACAAUGGGGGAAACCCUGAUCCAGCCAUCCCGCGUGUGCGAUGAAGGCCUUCGGGUUGUAAAGCACUUUUAGCUGGCAAGCGGUACCUGCAGAAUAAGCACCGGCUAACUACGUGCCAGCAGCCGCGGUAAUUC
This 407-nucleotide ribosomal RNA is filed under the name uncultured bacterium. Its description in RNAcentral is "partial 16S ribosomal RNA". It matches the Rfam family "Bacterial small subunit ribosomal RNA", at positions 30 to 526 of the family's 1533-position model. The record is from RNAcentral.